This 76-nucleotide transfer RNA is filed under the name Methylibium petroleiphilum PM1. RNAcentral's name for it is "tRNA-Gly". Lineage: Bacteria; Pseudomonadati; Pseudomonadota; Betaproteobacteria; Burkholderiales; Sphaerotilaceae. The record is from RNAcentral.
GAACGAAGGAACUGCACGUAGGCCGACGGGAUCUCCAUGUCGACCAGGAAGUAGGCGCGCGCGAAGCUGAACAGCA